RNAcentral lists this long non-coding RNA (3127 nucleotides) under Capsicum annuum. Its description in RNAcentral is "long non-coding RNA (CANN_LNC014217)". Lineage: Eukaryota; Viridiplantae; Streptophyta; Magnoliopsida; Solanales; Solanaceae. The record is from RNAcentral.
AGGAAUCGUCCAUUUUACUCUUUCUUUUAGUGAUAGGAUUUGAGAUCAGCCAUUGGAUUGAAGUGGUGAGCUUCCACAUUCUAGAAAGCUUUAUUUGAUAUCCUGAAUGUAUUUACAUACUUUAGUUAUUUUAUGGAUAUUGGUUUUGGCUAUGGUUUGGGGCAUGUCCCAAUUGAAUAUUGUUUUUCUUUUAGUUAGAGGAUUUGUGUGACUACUAUGGGGUUGAAUGUGCGAUGUCGGUAUUGGUGACAGCCUUAGUAUUGGCAUUGGUAUUGGGGCUGAUACCGGUUGAUUGAAUUUAUGACUGUACUAUGUUAUGUUAUGUUAUAGACAAGAACUUGAUUUUUAUAUUGGUUUGGUUAUGGUUGAUGGAUAGUUGGACUUGUUUGGGUUGGUCAUGGUUAUAGACCUAUCUAAGAGUCUUAGGUUAUGCUUACACGCUAUCUUUUUAUGUGGUCAGAAUUCAUCCAAUUUAGGAUAUGCAUAGGUUGGUUGGGUUGGGUAACGGGGGUGGUCUUCAAUCUUGGUUGGACUUAGGAUGCCCAUUAUGAAGGCGUUCGAGUCGUCUUAAGUUGUUAUCAGAGCUUUAGGUUCAUGGACGUCCACAAAGCCAUGUUGAUUAGAGCCUCAUUUAAGGGUGUGUAGUAUGCCACACUCAUAAGGGACAGGCUAUAAGGUAUUUAGGAAAUGUUUCUCUUCUUGGUAUUCUGUUUUCAAGCUUAGAGGCCUUAGAAUCUUCUCUAAUCAUAGUUUGUUUGCUGUUAGGAUCAUGCCUCGACAAUCUGAGGCACAAUGUAACUCUUCUGUCCCAAUUGGGGAUAAUGUUGAAGUGACACGGACAACUCAAGGGAUCCAUACUUGGUCUAGGGGUCCAGUACCUGAUAUUUCUAAAGCUCCACCGGUUGCUACUAGUCCUCCUCAGGGUGAGGUGACAAAUACGAAAUUUCACCAAUCGAUUCAUGUUAUUGCUCAGUUAGUUGUUGCUCAGGCUAAGCAGGGUGUAUUUGGUGUUUCAUCUGUUGAGGCCACAAGGAUUGGCCAGUUUAUAAAGAAGGAUCCUUAGGGUUUCUUGGAUUAAAUAGAGAAAAAUUUCAGGGUAAUGCAGGCCACGAAUGUGGAAGGAGUGAAUUUUGUUGCUUACCAAAUUAAGGAUGUGGCAUACCAAGGUAUGGGGAGUAGGAUAGGUUGAGAGGUAAUGUUGAGGAGAUGACUUUGUGGGAGACUUUCUAUAAUGCUUUUCUGGAUCGCUUCUUUCCUCAGGAGUUGAAAGAAGCGAAAGCGGAGGAAUUUGUUAAUCUGAGGCAAGGAAAAAUGCCUGUCAUGGAAUAUUUCUUGAAAUUUCACCAACUGUCUAGGUAUGCUCCGGAAUUGGUUUCUGAUACGAGGGCAAGGAUGAGAAAUUUCACUUCUAGACUAUCUCGGGAUUUGAUCCUUGAAAGAAAGACUACAUUGUUGAUCAAGGAUAUGGACAUUUCUAGGUUGGUGGUUCAUAUGCAGUAGGUGGAGGAGGAAAAGAGAAAGCAGGUUGAGUUUAGAGAAAGGCAAGGUAAGAAGUUCAGAUAUUUUGAACAAGGUGGUGGGCAACAACAAGGUGGUCGGGAUGGUGAUGAGUGGCUAAAGAAGAAGUGAGGGAGUUCUGGUUCCUUCUCUGUAGCUAGUGCUCCUUACCUAAAGUAGUUGGGUGAUGGGCGUUAUCAGGGUGAUGAUAAUUUCGAGGCACUGGGUACCCAAUCUCAGGAAAGGGGGUCCCAUUCGACCUCAUCAUGACCUCAUCAUGCCCUCCUUGUCAGUUUCAUGGUAGGUUGCAUAGGGGUUUCUGUGAUGAGGGGAGGGACAAGUGUUUCAAAUGUGGUCGGCCAGGUCAUAUGCUUAGAAAGUAUCCGGUUGGUAAGGGUGAUUCGGGGGAGAUCAAGGCUCCGAUUGCAUUAUUUUUUUCUUCUACACCAAAGGGUUCUGCUUCUGCAUUAGUUUCUACUUCUGGUACCGACGUGGGUCAAAAUAAGUUAUAUGCUCUUGCUACUCGGGAGGAAUCUGAGGCAUCACCUGAUGUCGGAUUGGUACGUUAUAACUCUUUUCUCUGACAUAUAUUGUUUUCUUGAUCCGUGGUCUACUUUCUUAUAUAACCCUAUUUGUGGUUGCGUAUUUUGGUUUUGAUCCUGAGGUUAUAUCGGAUCCUUUUUUUGUUUAUACCAUGGUAAGUGACUGUUUGAUUACAAAAAAAGUUAAUAGGGGGUGUGGUAUCUUUCAAUAGCAGGAAGACUUUGGUGGACUUGUUUGACCUUGAUAUGGUGGAUUUUAACGUAAUUUUGCGGAUGGAUUAGUUACACUCUUGUUAUGGGUCCUUAGAUUGUCGGGCCCGUAAGGUUGUCUUUAGGCUCCCUGGUGAAUCGAUUAUUGAGUAGGAGGGUGGUUCCCUAGCUCCUAGGGGGAACUUUAUUUCUUAUCUUUGAGCUCGGAGAUUAACCUCCAAAGGGUGUCUCUAUUAUUUGGUCCGGGUUAAAGAUUCUAACUCGAAGAUCCCUUCUUUACAUUGUUUUGGUGGUAAAUACUUUUCUGAUGUAUUUUCGGAUGAUCUUCCUAGUAUUUCUCUGGAUAGAGAGAUUGAGUUUGGCAUUGAUUUGGUUCCGGACACUCGUCCAAAAUCUGUUCCUCCCUAUAGAAUGGCACCGGCUGAGUUGAGGUGCACCGAUGUUAUUCGUGUGUAAGAAAAUGGUUCCCAUCGGAUGAGCAUUGACUAUCAACAAUCAAAUAAGGUGACAUUUAAGAACGAGUAUCCUCUUCUAAGGAUAGAUGACUUGUUUAAUCAGUUUCAAGUCCUCCUCAGGGUGAGGUGACAAAUACGAAAUUUCACCAAUCGAUUCAUGUUAUUGCUCAGUUAGUUGUUGCUCAGGCUAAGCAGGGUGUAUUUGGUGUUUCAUCUGUUGAGGCCACAAGGAUUGGCCAGUUUAUAAAGAAGGAUCCUUAGGGUUUCUUGGAUUAAAUAGAGAAAAAUUUCAGGGUAAUGCAGGCCACGAAUGUGGAAGGAGUGAAUUUUGUUGCUUACCAAAUUAAGGAUGUGGCAUACCAAGGUAUGGGGAGUAGGAUAGGUUGAGAGGUAAUGUUGAGGAGAUGACUUUGUGGGAGACUU